RNAcentral lists this ribosomal RNA (433 nucleotides) under uncultured bacterium. Its description in RNAcentral is "partial 16S ribosomal RNA". It matches the Rfam family "Bacterial small subunit ribosomal RNA", at positions 29 to 507 of the family's 1533-position model. The record is from RNAcentral.
AAUGAACGCUGGCGGCAUGCCUAACACAUGCAAGUCGAACGAAGGCUUCGGCCUUAGUGGCGCACGGGUGCGUAACGCGUGGGAAUCUACCCUUAGGUUCGGAAUAACAGUGGGAAACGACUGCUAAUACCGGAUGAUGACGUAAGUCCAAAGAUUUAUCGCCUAGGGAUGAGCCCGCGUAGGAUUAGCUAGUUGGUGUGGUAAAGGCGCACCAAGGCGACGAUCCUUAGCUGGUCUGAGAGGAUGAUCAGCCACACUGGGACUGAGACACGGCCCAGACUCCUACGGGAGGCAGCAGUGGGGAAUAUUGGACAAGGGGCGAAAGCCUGAUCCAGCAAUGCCGCGUGAGUGAUGAAGGCCUUAGGGUUGUAAAGCUCUUUUACCCGGGAUGAUAAUGACAGUACCGGGAGAAUAAGCUCCGGCUAACUCCGUG